GAUGAACGCUGGCGGCGUGCCUAAUACAUGCAAGUCGAGCGUACAGACGAGGAGCUUGCUCCUCUGACGUUAGCGGCGGACGGGUGAGUAACACGUGGAUAACCUACCUAUAAGACUGGGAUAACUUCGGGAAACCGGAGCUAAUACCGGAUAAUAUAUUGAACCGCAUGGUUCAAUAGUGAAAGACGGUUUUGCUGUCACUUAUAGAUGGAUCCGCGCCGCAUUAGCUAGUUGGUAAGGUAACGGCUUACCAAGGCAACGAUGCGUAGCCGACCUGAGAGGGUGAUCGGCCACACUGGAACUGAGACACGGUCCAGACUCCUACGGGAGGCAGCAGUAGGGAAUCUUCCGCAAUGGGCGAAAGCCUGACGGAGCAACGCCGCGUGAGUGAUGAAGGUCUUCGGAUCGUAAAACUCUGUUAUUAGGGAAGAACAAAUGUGUAAGUAACUAUGCACGUCUUGACGGUACCUAACCAGAAAGCCACGGCUAACUACGUG
This 497-nucleotide ribosomal RNA is filed under the name uncultured bacterium. RNAcentral describes it as "partial 16S ribosomal RNA". It matches the Rfam family "Bacterial small subunit ribosomal RNA", at positions 28 to 507 of the family's 1533-position model. The record is from RNAcentral.